RNAcentral lists this ribosomal RNA (492 nucleotides) under uncultured bacterium. RNAcentral describes it as "partial 16S ribosomal RNA". It matches the Rfam family "Bacterial small subunit ribosomal RNA", at positions 29 to 507 of the family's 1533-position model. The record is from RNAcentral.
AGUGAACGCUGGCGGUAGGCCUAACACAUGCAAGUCGAACGGCAGCACAGUAAGAGCUUGCUCUUACGGGUGGCGAGUGGCGGACGGGUGAGGAAUACAUCGGAAUCUACUUUUUCGUGGGGGAUAACGUAGGGAAACUUACGCUAAUACCGCAUACGACCUACGGGUGAAAGCAGGGGAUCUUCGGACCUUGCGCGAUUGAAUGAGCUGAUGUCGGAUUAGCUAGUUGGCGGGGUAAAGGCCCACCAAGGCGACGAUCCGUAGCUGGUCUGAGAGGAUGAUCAGCCACACUGGAACUGAGACACGGUCCAGACUCCUACGGGAGGCAGCAGUGGGGAAUAUUGGACAAUGGGCGAAAGCCUGAUCCAGCCAUACCGCGUGGGUGAAGAAGGCCUUCGGGUUGUAAAGCCCUUUUGUUGGGAAAGAAAAGCAGCAGGUUAAUCCCCCGCUGUUCUGACGGUACCCAAAGAAUAAGCACCGGCUAACUUCGUG